UGACCUGAAAGUAUUUUCGAAAAACAAAAAUCGUCGGUUUAUUUUUAAACGACGCCCAACUCUCGCAACUUCCGUCAUUUGCUAAAAGAUAAAAUUAUUCCGACAUGGAAAACAUCCACGGCAUUCAGUUAAAAGAAAGACCAGGAAAAGUCGUACGAAUAAUUCCGAUUGGUUAAGGGCAGGGAGCCAGAGUGGCAAGUCAAGGUUGGCAAACCAAGUGAAAACCAAGGUAGAAAAUAGUUGUCGUUUGUUUCACGUUUGUUUCACGUUUCUUUCACGUUUGUUCAUUUUUUCGAAAUUGAAUUGCUUUUUAGCAGCUAUUUUUACAAGGCCUUGUUAGAUCGAGUUACACGAGGACCGACGAAGCGGAACGGGUCACUGAUCACCUAGACAACAACAACAACAAUACAAAAAAGAAAUCGUGCAAGUCCCUGCCCUCACACGACGGACCAAGGAUCAACCGCAAUCCGUCCAAGCGUGUCGAAGAAAGGGAAAGGGACUUUCGAUGUCAAACGAGACGGACGACGGACGACGGACGAAAAGAGACAUAAAAGAGGAUGAGAAACCUCGUCGUAGUCAUUGAGAUCUUGGCAGGAGCCAAAGUCCGUGUCGGCCGUCGAUUGAACCGACUGGAAACUGGGAACGCGGGAAAACGGACCGACCACCACAAAUUCGUUGGCCGCCGCCUCCUGACGACGGGGAGUCUGUCGAAGAGUAGCGACUGCUGGACAGCGAACGGGCAGAGAAUCGCCUACUGCCGCCCGACUGAUGAGCUGCGUACGAACGAGUGGUGGAACGCGAACGCUGCGAUCCGCCGGCCUCUUUGCCCAAAUGUUUCCAUUCGUUCAUGACGUGAUCGGUGCGGCCGAGGAAGUCACGGAUGGCCCGGCUCAACUUUGAAGACGUCGUGUCGGCCAUCGUAUGGGCUGGUAGCGGGCGAAAGUGUUGCCGGACGCCGGUCGACGUCGUCGUCGGGCGGCUGGGACGAUUUGCUGCACUGCCAACGCAAAUGGCCGACACGGAAGAGGAACGUACGGCUUUGUGUCCCAGGACGAAGCUCAUUCCAGCCUGGAUGACGACUCCUUCGUCCCGGGCGGCCAACGGAGCCGGUGGCGGAGUCGAUCGACGACUUUGAUGAUGCGACGGUCGCCGGGCAGAAACUGAUUGCGACAGGGAUUCGCUGUAAUAGCCGGACGUGAGGAUGGGCGAAAGAGCCAGCGAAAGUUGCGUCUGACUGUGAUCACGUUCGGCUUGGAUUUCCAGCCGACGUUUCGAUGAUAAAUGCGACGACAAGGAGCUCAUUCUUGUUUUGUUUUGCUGUUUUCUCUGGAAGGAAGGAAGGAAGGAAGGAAGGAAGAAAAGGAGCGAGAGAAGAGGGGAUCCCAGUGCAAAAAAAAAUGUCGGUGGCAGCAGGGGUUAGGUUAACAGCACAAAAUAUUCAAGCAAAGUGUAUGUGUAACCGCAGGGGCGUGAGAGUGGGGGCCAAAUAGAAAAAGAGAGAGAAAGACCUGGAGCCUUUGAUCGGCAGCAGUCAUAGGCAACAACUGGGCAAGAGUGGAACCACUACAAACAUCGACACGCACGCAACGAAACGCAACGAAACACACAUUUCUGCUUGAAGGUGUAGGCAACAGAUGAGUAAGAAUGAAAAUUUAAAAAAAAAAAGAGAUUGGGUGUGUGUGUGUGUGUGGGUUUGGCUCGGGUUCAAUUCCACUUUGCGCUCAACGAUGACGUUGGCUUCUUCUUUGUUCAUCUCUUUGGAGGGGCUGGAAUCAAGGAGAGGCUGCAAGCCAAGACUAGCGGUCCCUAACCUCAUCGAGUCGUUUCUUCCUGGCUCGUUUCUCUUCCUAGUCCAUAAGGCCAACCCUAGUCUCACACUACACAGGAUGCAAACGCUAUUUAUAGGAUGUUACGCCAGAACGCUUUUCGUCGAUUGACUAACGGGCAACAACCAUGUUCGAUGGCGAGCGGCAGUGGCCGAGAGAAGGGCGCAUUCCAUUGUCGAAAGGAAACGACGACAUUCGGAAUCGAUUGGAGACGGCCUAUCAGUUAAGUGAGAUUAUUUCCGCUCUGCUGCUGCUGCUGCUGGAUGCUGACAAUCUAUCGCGGCUGGGAGUUAUUUUCAAUGGAGUGAAGAAAACCCCAAAACAAACAACAACAACAACAAAAAAGGAGAAAGAUUUUGAAAGGCAUAUUGCUAGUUUUCGUCGAUACCACGUCGACUCUCUUGGCCAUUAACCAAACGAUCGUGUAAACAUGAAUGUCGAUCAGGCUAGACCUACAAGGCACGUCUAUGCGUGGUUAAUGGUUCGUACCUUGGUUUCAAGUCGGUCGGCGACGUAUUUGAGAUCGGCGCGCUCUUUUUCAAGAGCGGUGACUCUACUGCGCAGACUCUCGGCUUCCUCCUACGCCCAAACAAGGAAGGAAAAAAAAAAAAAAAGUGUUGGUUCAAAUGACGCGUUGAAAUUGCGUUGGGGCCAAUAAAAGAAGAAGAAGAAGAAGCAGGAAAAUUACCGUUCUCGCUUUGAGCUCCUCUUCGGUCCGGUGGACGUUGAGCAGAGGAGACAAACGGAGCAUUAGGCGCCACCAAGGCCACACCUGAAUGGCCUGCAAUUUGCGCACGUUGCGUUGGAUGCAGCGAAUGGCAACAUCUUGCACCUGCGCAAUUUCACCAAUCGUUUUCACCAGAAACAACCAAAACCAAACGAAACCAACGAAAAACGGAGAAAUUUAGCACAAGCAAAACGACGAAUGGAUGAAUUUCUCUUGAUUUUCACCUUGAGUUUGAUUAAGCGUUUGCGCGCCAGGAAGCCUCGACAUUGCGCCUGGAAUUUGACGACACGGCUCGUGAUUUUUUCAUCGCGCUGAUCUUCCAGUUGAGACAAAACUCCCGGCCGGAAGAAAACCUGAAACAACAGAAAGUAAAAGAAAAAUCAAACCGAGAAUUAAAAAAAAAGCUCACACUCGCGAAUGAAAAAAACUAUAGACCACAAUUCCCAGGAAAUAAUGGAAUAGAUGAGGCUAAAGAGGGUACGCAAGAUGGCCGCCAUCGCCACCACCUCACGCAAAAACGCAAAAACGCAAAAACGCAAACGAAAAGUACCUCGUUGGAGGUUUUCGAUUGAAUGAGAACGUCGACCACUUGGUCUAAAUCCAUUUCGCUUUCCAAAUCGCUCCAACGAAUGUCGUCGCACAUCGUCUUCGUCCACAUCCACCUCGUCGUCGGUCGAGGUGGCGGAGAAGAGACGGUCAUCGCUCGAUGGAUUGCGAGCAAAUAUCUCCAGUUCGAUUUGUUUGUCUUCCUCCUCGACGUCGUCUUUGUCGUCGUCGUGCGCAGCGAAAUGAUCCACUUGUACGCGAUGAGCCGUCAAGUAAAUGUAACGUCUGGAAGGCAGUUCCGGCUCGGGACUGGGCGGCGUCGUCGACGUAUAACCCGACGACGACGUCGUGCUACCGCAAUUGAAAAGACUCAAAUUGCUGCCGUUAUCGAGCAAUGCCGCCGCACGGUGCGGCUGUUUGCCUUCGGCUGGUUGGUGCUGCAACGUCCGAAACGAUCGGCCAUCCGGCACUCCGUUGCGAGCCGGACACGAUUGACUCCUUUUCUUCCGCUUGUCGCCGUCGUCCCCGUCUUCUUUAGUUGGCGUCACAUCGACUGGCCCGUCGAAUUAAAUCUUCAAAGGCUUUGAUUCGAUCGGCCACUGCCGGAGCCGAGUCCAGUGGAUCAACGCGCGGAUCGUCUUCGUUGCGCCUGUUAUCCGUGCGAUAGGGCCGAUGUUGCUGGCUGAUGAUUGGAUUGGACGUCGAGAUCCUCAUGGUCGAUUUUUACCAGAGUCGAUCACUUCAGACUUUGGCAGCUAACUGGCUAAGAGAGUUGGUCUGUGGCGACUCUGCCCGCACCGAAACGCGUCUUCUUCGCCACUGAUUCCAUCCGGCACUGUGAAAGUGUUGGAAUGAGAAUGAACGACGAUGAGCCUCUUUUCCUUCUUCUCGCCUCAUCAACUCCUUUUUUUUUUUUUCUUUCUUCUUCUUUUCUUCCUCCUCCUAACAUCCCCUAAGCCAACUACCUACCCCUCAAGGGCACACUCGGUGCGUGAUGUGUUCAAUAUAGGCAAAAGUGUGUGUGUGUUUGUGUGUUACGAAUAGUGGCGCUUAGAGCCACAGGUGGAUGCCACGUUCCGUUUAACGCCCGGUCGCCUGUUUUUUCGUAAGUUUUGGUGGUGUGGUGUGGUGUGGUGUGGUGUGGCGACCAAACAAAACAACAACAACACCAACAAAAAAAAAGAAGGUUGUCGACCGGACAACUUGGCAGGACGGGCGCUAACGUGAGAAUCUUUUCUUUUUUCUUUCCCCUUUAAUUUCCAAUUGUUGCGUCCGAGACGAUCCGACGAAACGAAGAAAAAUCAAACAGAAAGAAGCCAACAAGAAGAGACGAUGGAAACAGUGAGAGAAGGCAAAUGGUUGGGCAGUCCGUCAUUACAGACCACUGGCCAGCUGACGUCGUUGGGUCUUUUUCCGCUUCGUUUCCACUGGAAAACUCGUCCGUUUCUCCCGACUGCCGCCCACCAUUUCGUUUUGAGAUCAAAAAGAAUGAGGUGACAUGAAUGUCUCGAUGCCGCCACCGCCACCACCCUCACCACGGCCAACAAUCAACAAAGAAUGCAAAGCCGAAAGGCCAAUCGGUCAAUCGAAUGGGAAUCCAUUCCCAGCUAAAUCGAGUUCGAUUGUGGAAAAUUGGGUUGACGCAAACUGGGCACCUCGAUUUCCCUCAUUAUGUCGCCCUCCCUUUCUCGCGUGUUUUCACGGUUGGACAAACAGACCGGCCAUCCAUCCAAUUGUAGUAGCCCUCAAGAGAUAACGAGUUGCAUUUACACAGAAUGAAUAGGGGAAAGCCAUCUGACAUGCGACUGCACAAUCACAAUCGAUUGUCCCUUCAUUUGACACGCAUUGAGUUUCGUUUCUUUUCCCCGUGCCAUCAAGACGUCCGUGAAAAGAAAAGAAAAGAAAAGAGGAAAAUCACCUGACUAAGACCGAGGCGGUAAGAUGAUCGUUCCAUGUCGAUAUGUAGCAAAAGGAUUUCGGCCGCUUGUUUCUCGCUGGCCGUCGAGUUGUUGAGACCCGUCAGCAGAGAAGCGGGCAACGCGUCAGGUGGCACCACAACGUUGAAACGGCGGACAAAUUCGCCAAGUGGCAUAUAAUCCGGAUAGCCUUGUCGAUACAAACGAAUGGCCGGAAGCAAUUCCGAUCCACGCAACUAAAA
Molecule: long non-coding RNA, 5257 nt
Organism: Daphnia magna
Lineage: Eukaryota; Metazoa; Arthropoda; Branchiopoda; Diplostraca; Daphniidae
Exons: 2
Source: RefSeq, a predicted model, not a curated record